RNAcentral lists this ribosomal RNA (478 nucleotides) under uncultured bacterium. RNAcentral's name for it is "partial 16S ribosomal RNA". It matches the Rfam family "Bacterial small subunit ribosomal RNA", at positions 28 to 507 of the family's 1533-position model. The record is from RNAcentral.
GAUGAACGCUGGCGGCGUGCCUAACACAUGCAAGUCGAACGGAGUCCAGCCUUUAAGACCUUCGGGUCAAAGAGGGGAAGACUGAGUGGCGGACGGGUGAGUAACACGUGGGCAACCUGGCUCAUAGAGGGGGAUAACAGAGAGAAAUUUCUGCUAAUACCGCAUAAGCACACACUGCCGCAUGGCAGAGGGUGAAAAGAGAAUCGCUAUGAGAUGGACCCGCGUCUGAUUAGCCAGUUGGCAGGGUAAGAGCCUACCAAAGCGACGAUCAGUAGCCGAUCUGAGAGGAUGAACGGCCACAUUGGGAAUGAGACACGGCCCAAACUCCUACGGGAGGCAGCAGUGGGGGAUAUUGCACAAUGGGGGGAACCCUGAUGCAGCGACGCCGCGUGAGUGAAGAAGUAUUUCGGUAUGUAAAGCUCUAUCAGCAGGGAAGAUAAUGACAGUACCUGAAUAAGAAGCCCCGGCUAACUACGUG